RNAcentral lists this transfer RNA (73 nucleotides) under Ovis aries (sheep). It matches the Rfam family "tRNA". From Rfam's summary of the family: Transfer RNA (tRNA) molecules are approximately 80 nucleotides in length. Their secondary structure includes four short double-helical elements and three loops (D, anti-codon, and T loops). Lineage: Eukaryota; Metazoa; Chordata; Mammalia; Artiodactyla; Bovidae. The record is from Rfam by way of RNAcentral.
UUCCUGGUGGUUGAGUGGCUAAAACUCCGUGUUCUCAACACAGGGGGUCUGGGUUCGAUCCCUGGUGAGGGAA